GAAAAAAAAAAGAGGGGAAAGGGGAGUGAAUUUCUUCCAUCUUCAACCUCAAGCUUCAAGGACUCCAUAGCCAAUCUUUCUUCACAACUUCAUCAAAGAUUCGGGUUUCAAGAAGGAAUUGGGGAAAAUCCACCAAAAGCAUCUUUAAGACAAUAUUAACUACUUUGGAGAUGGAGUCCAGCGUUAGUUCUUGCAGUCCGACGAACUCCCCUAGUUCGUCAGAAGGUGUAGGUCGUGGCAUGGACUACGACGUUUUUGUGCAGCGGAUGAGUGGCGCCGACCCUUAUGCGCCUGGCUAUGCUCCUACAGCUCCCAAUAGCUCACCGGCAGUAAAUAGUGUUCUUCCUAUUCCUGAUGGUCCUGACGUACAGGCCACUUUUGGUUUUUACCCCAUCGAGG
Long non-coding RNA from Ipomoea triloba (trilobed morning glory), 399 nucleotides. RefSeq lists it as uncharacterized. The record is from RefSeq and is a predicted model, not a curated record. NCBI's taxonomy places the organism in Eukaryota, Viridiplantae, Streptophyta, Magnoliopsida, Solanales, Convolvulaceae. The transcript is spliced from 3 exons.